GAGUGCAGUCGCCGCCUGUCCCGAGACCUGGGCGUCUGUGCAGGGGCCCCCAGCUCCUGAGCCUGGGUCAGCGGCAGCGCUCCUGGACGAAGGCCUCAGGCUGAGCACCUGAGGAGGCGUGGGGGCGGGGGCGGGGAGAUACGGUCCAGCGUCCCAAUCUACCCGCGUCCACGGGAGUAGCAAGGGCACCCACGUUCCCUUGUCCCGCCGGGAACUUCCGUGCGACUGUUGUUUAAAAAUGAGGAAAGCUUUUUAUCAGUUUCUCGUGUUUCUGCUGCUUAGCCUGGCAGGCUCUCACGAACGAAACCCUGUUAAUUAAUGGUCGUUAAUUACACUCCAUUCCACAAACACUGAACUUAAUUACGGAUUUCCAGAAAGCCAGCAUAGCCUCUUGCAAGUGAGGUAUGUAAAGCUUAACUUAGUAGUCAAAGAAAGGAUUCGCAGGGCAAAGAAUUGGCAGUGAUCGUUUUAAAUCAAGUCAGAAUAAUCGAAGCCUUAUUCCCAGUUUGUUAGCUGCGGUUGUAUGAUUUAGAAACACUGAUUUGUUGAUUUAGGAUGUUUGGAUAGACAUAAUUUCAGAGCUGGAAGAAGGACCGCACACCGGUGAAAUAAGGCCCCGCGUGCUUGUUUGCCACUGGUGUGUUUCAUCAAGCCUUGACAACACUGGACUGAGAGAGAGGGCCUUGAGGACAGGAACCUUGACCUUUUUCUUAGUGUUCUUAUUUCUAGCACCUUGCCAAGCAGAUAGUAGUCGAUCAAUAAAAUGUCCAAUCAGUGAAUGAAUAGCAGACGAAAUGAGCAAAGUGCCCAGAGAAGUGACUCUUCCAUAUUUCAAGUGUUUCAUGUGCUACAGAAUCUGUUGAACAAGGUGAAGUUUAAGUGCAUUGUGUGGACUUACAACUUACAAGAAAUGAAGAUCUUCUUGACAAAUAU
RNAcentral lists this long non-coding RNA (933 nucleotides) under Homo sapiens (human). RNAcentral describes it as "non-protein coding lnc-ZSWIM2-16:2". The record is from RNAcentral. Lineage: Eukaryota; Metazoa; Chordata; Mammalia; Primates; Hominidae.